AUGGCGGAGAGGUUCUUCUCCGGCACGUCCACCGCCGCACCUCCGUUCGACGAUGCCGGCAUCCUCCUCCUCUCGGGCCCUCCGUGCUGCGGGAAGACCUCGCUCCUUUUCCAGUUCGCGAUAAACCGUGCGGCGGAGAGCGGCCGGCACGUGGUGUUCAUUUGCAGCAAGGGGAGGUUGGAGAACAGCACCCCCUUCUUGUCCCAGGGUGUUGAGCCAUCCCUGAGCGUGCUUCAGAGAAUACAAAUCAAAUACAUUGAAGACGAUGAGGGAAUCAGGAAGUACUUUGCUGCAUUUCACCUGCUUGACGACUUUCCUGCUGCAGUCAUUGUCGAUGAUUUUACCGGUUUCUUUUCGGAGAGCUGUAAUAGGAGCUGCCAGUUAAGAUAUGGAAAUACUAGGGCUCGUGAUCUAGCAUUGGUUCGCAUAUUAGCUUUGUGUCAAAAUGCUAUUUCGCAUGCAAAUGCAAAGCUUGGAACCAUUGGAUCUUGCAACCUCUUGCUCUCUGAUGUACAUCAAGGUGACAACCCAAGGUCCCUGUUCAUCUACAAGAGAUGGAUAGGUUCCAUAUAUACAAUCCAAGGUGACGGCUUAGGUUCAUAUCUACUCAAGAACAUUAGCACUCCACAAAGUGGAACCAAGGAAGCAAGAGCAGCUAAAUACUCAAUAGCUUUACAGUACCUUGUUCUUGAGGAAAUCAAAGAAUAA
RNAcentral lists this ribosomal RNA (708 nucleotides) under Triticum aestivum (bread wheat). RNAcentral's name for it is "partial small subunit ribosomal RNA". The record is from RNAcentral. Lineage: Eukaryota; Viridiplantae; Streptophyta; Magnoliopsida; Poales; Poaceae.